AUAACAAAGUUUUGUUUUACAUAGCAGAAUGGAUCAGACUGCACAAGCCUGUUACAAUAUAAGAAGCCAUAAGGACUGGUAUCGGUAGUGGAUGGUUAAAAGAAUUUGUCUCACUUCAGUACUGUUCGUAAAUAAGCUUGGGGAAUGAGGAAAAGUGCAGCUGCUGAACUGCAGUGAAAUCAUCUCUUUAUGUGUAAAAACAGCAUUCGCACUUUCACACCCCACACACACAAAUCCAUUACGCUCGAAGCUUUUAAAAGGAAACGAAAGCCCUUCGUCCAAAUUGAGGUUCUCUUAUGGCCGGUUCCAUUUUAAGCGCGAGACGAGAGCCAAUUUCAGAAAGAGUUGACCCCGGCUGUGUGUCCCUCUUUUCAGCAUCUGUCUUCCUGUUUUUUCUUCUUCUUUCCCUUUACCCUCACGCCUGCUUUUAUAUACUUAUUCUACAGUGCGGCCUACACAUGGUGUUUGUUUUGCCAAGCGCUUGCUAACCACCGUAAAGCCUUGACAUAAAGCCGGGAGUGAAAAGGGGCUAAAAAGCAUCCUGGAGAGAAAUGUUCUUGAGCUUUCAUCUGAGAGUGUUACCACUAAGAGAGAGAGAGAGAGAGAGAAUUAUUCCAGUCUUAAAAAUAACCUGACUGCAACAUCGAUGUGAACAUCAGUACUGCAAUGAUAGUCUGGCAAGCACUGGCAGACUACAGCAAUAGUCUGAUCAAGAAACUAUGACUUCCAGCACCGCUUUGGGAUUGUGCAACCGGCACAUAAAAAUUAUUACAGCAUCAAGAUCAGUUCCAUAUCUUAAAUCUCCCCAUAUGGGCUACAUCUCGGACCCCAUGUACAGUAUACCUGGGUCUUUCAGGCACCCUUUAUUUAGACUGCAUCUUGAUGAGAUUUUAACUGGAUGCAUAAACACUUGUGAUAUCACAGUGAUAUGUGAGCGCUGAACCACAUGAAUUAUGUAAAGAAGCUUUUAAUACCCGACCACAAACAUCCUGUGUUUUUCCUGGUUUCCUUUUGUUCUAUGCAAAAGAUGGUCAAAUAUUAAGCAAAUCUGUCAGUGGUCCCAAAGGCUGCAUUAUGUAAUGGGGAUGGGAAUUUUGCUUAUGAUAUAAAAUAAACACUAUAUGGCCAAAGAUAUCUUGACACCUGACCAUCAAACCCACAUGUGGGUCUUCCCUAAACUGUUGCCACAAAUUUGGAACCAGACAAUUGUAUAAGAUGUCAACAAUGCAAUGCGCCUGUGCACAAAGUGAGCUCCUUGAAAAUAUGAUUUGCUGAGGUUGGCGUGGAAGAACUCAAGUGUCCUGCCCAGAGCCAAGACAUCAACCCCACUUAACACCAUUGGGACAACCCAGAAUCUUCUCCCAAGAUCAGCCUGUCCUCACGAAUGCUCUUGUAGUUGAACGAACACAAAUACCCCACAGCCAC
Ictalurus punctatus (channel catfish) is the source of this 1425-nucleotide long non-coding RNA. NCBI's taxonomy places the organism in Eukaryota, Metazoa, Chordata, Actinopteri, Siluriformes, Ictaluridae. The record is from Ensembl.